CCUACGGGUGGCUGCAGUAGGGAAUCUUCCGCAAUGGACGAAAGUCUGACGGAGCAACGCCGCGUGAGUGAUGAAGGCUUUCGGGUCGUAAAACUCUGUUGUUAGGGAAGAACAAGUAUCGGAGUAACUGCCGGUACCUUGACGGUACCUAACCAGAAAGCCACGGCUAACUACGUGCCAGCAGCCGCGGUAAUACGUAGGUGGCAAGCGUUGUCCGGAAUUAUUGGGCGUAAAGCGCGCGCAGGCGGUCCUUUAAGUCUGAUGUGAAAGCCCACGGCUCAACCGUGGAGGGUCAUUGGAAACUGGGGGACUUGAGUGCAGAAGAGGAAAGCGGAAUUCCACGUGUAGCGGUGAAAUGCGUAGAGAUGUGGAGGAACACCAGUGGCGAAGGCGGCUUUCUGGUCUGUAACUGACGCUGAGGCGCGAAAGCGUGGGGAGCAAACAGGAUUAGAUACCCUAGUAGUC
Molecule: ribosomal RNA, 465 nt
Filed under: uncultured bacterium
Lineage: Bacteria
Description: bacterial SSU rRNA
Rfam family: Bacterial small subunit ribosomal RNA
Source: RNAcentral